Molecule: ribosomal RNA, 461 nt
Filed under: uncultured bacterium
Lineage: Bacteria
Description: SSU rRNA
Rfam family: Bacterial small subunit ribosomal RNA
Source: RNAcentral
AGAACGAACGCUGGCGGCAUGCCUAACACAUGCAAGUCGAACGCUCACCGGGCUUCGGUUCGGUGGGAGUGGCGCACGGGUGAGUAGCGCGUGGGAACCUGCCCUGUUGUGGGGGAUAACCGAGGGAAACUUCGGCUAAUACCGCAUGCGCCCGGGGAAACCCGGGGAAAGAUUUAUCGCAGCAGGAGGGGCCCGCGUCGGAUUAGGUAGUUGGUAGGGUAACGGCCUACCAAGCCUUUGAUCCGUAGCUGGUCUGAGAGGAUGAUCAGCCACACUGGGACUGAGACACGGCCCAGACUCCUACGGGAGGCAGCAGUGGGGAAUAUUGGACAAUGGGCGCAAGCCUGAUCCAGCAAUGCCGCGUGAGUGAUGAAGGCCUUAGGGUUGUAAAGCUCUUUCGCCCGCGACGAUGAUGACGGUAGCGGGAGAAGAGCCCCGGCUAACUUCGUGCCAGCAGCCGC